RNAcentral lists this long non-coding RNA (172 nucleotides) under Mustela putorius furo (domestic ferret). RNAcentral describes it as "lncRNA (ENSMPUG00000028356.1)". Lineage: Eukaryota; Metazoa; Chordata; Mammalia; Carnivora; Mustelidae. The record is from RNAcentral.
GCAGGAGGAGGAGAGAGGCUGGUAGGCUGCAGUCCAGGGGUUCCAGAGAGCCCUGUUUGAACCCCUAGCUCCGCCUUUUACAAAUUCUGUGAUUUCAGGUUCAUUGGCUAAAACUCCAGAGGAAGUCCUUUCUCUCCCGGUCCCAAGGGCCACCGUCGCUCCUGCCUGUUGC